UGAUGGCAUUUCCUUUAUCGUUUCCUGAUGACGUUUACAGUAAUUCGUGAAGAAUUGCCACGUUAUGAAUUAAUCUAAACAAGAUGACAAGAAAACAAAGGAAAAGCAGUUUAUGAGCUGUUGGUUACUUCAUUAGUCAUAAGUCUAAUUUGUAAUUUGAAGUUUUAGAUGAGAAUUAAAAAAAAACAAAAAUAAUAUUAAAAGCCUCAAGAAUCUACUUGAACUUAACUGUUUAAACUUGCCAAAUAAUUAUCCCUUUCAUCAAAAUAUAGAAAAUGAUUCAUUCCUCUUGCAAUAUUCAAAACAUAUUUAUCGGUUCUACUUAAGAAAAUUCUUUAAUCUGAAUAAAUCUA
RNAcentral lists this long non-coding RNA (353 nucleotides) under Centruroides sculpturatus (bark scorpion). RNAcentral describes it as "uncharacterized LOC111620137, transcript variant X2". Lineage: Eukaryota; Metazoa; Arthropoda; Arachnida; Scorpiones; Buthidae. The record is from RNAcentral.